Molecule: ribosomal RNA, 253 nt
Filed under: uncultured bacterium
Lineage: Bacteria
Description: partial 16S ribosomal RNA
Rfam family: Bacterial small subunit ribosomal RNA
Source: RNAcentral
GACGUAGGAUGCGAGCGUUAUUCGGAAUUAUUGGGCGUAAAGCGCACGUAGGCGGCUUUGCAAGUCCCAUGUGAAAUCCCACGGCUCAACCGUGGAAGUGCAUGGGAAACUGCAGAGCUUGAGUACUUAAGAGGAUCGCGGAAUUCCCGGUGUAGAGGUGAAAUUCGUAGAUAUCGGGAGGAACACCAGUGGCGAAGGCGGCGAUCUGGGAAGAUACUGACGCUGAGGUGCGAAAGCGUGGGGAGCAAACAGG